AAUGGGCGAAAGCCUGAUGCAGCGACGCCGCGUGAGGGAUGACGGCCUUCGGGUUGUAAACCUCUUUCAGCAGGGAAGAAGCGAAAGUGACGGUACCUGCAGAAGAAGCACCGGCUAACUACGUGCCAGCAGCCGCGGUAAUACGUAGGGUGCGAGCGUUGUCCGGAAUUAUUGGGCGUAAAGAGCUUGUAGGCGGUUUGUCGCGUCUGCUGUGAAAAUCCGGGGCUCAACCCCGGACUUGCAGUGGGUACGGGCAGACUAGAGUGUGGUAGGGGAGACUGGAAUUCCUGGUGUAGCGGUGAAAUGCGCAGAUAUCAGGAGGAACACCGAUGGCGAAGGCAGGUCUCUGGGCCACUACUGACGCUGAGAAGCGAAAGCAUGGGGAGCGAACAGGAUUAGAUACCCUGGUAGUCCAUGCCGUAAACGUUGGGCGCUAGGUGUGGGACUCAUUCCACGAGUUCCGUGCCGCAGCUAACGCAUUAA
This 483-nucleotide ribosomal RNA is filed under the name Terrabacter sp. YK6. RNAcentral's name for it is "bacterial SSU rRNA". It matches the Rfam family "Bacterial small subunit ribosomal RNA", at positions 370 to 863 of the family's 1533-position model. Lineage: Bacteria; Bacillati; Actinomycetota; Actinomycetes; Micrococcales; Intrasporangiaceae. The record is from RNAcentral.